GUGCUGAACCUGAGAGCAGCCCCAGUACACUCCCUGCAUGGGAAUCUCCAUCUCAAAGUCAGCCUCCAGGGAGCCCGCCCUGAAACAGAUUCUGUCAUGGAACUCAACAGAGUAUCCUGGUGCGGAUAACCAGUGUUGGGAGUUAGAGCACGGACUCUCUCCACCUGCACGGUGCUGGAGCUCUGCACACCCCCUCUGCAGCCAUCCCUCGCCGCUGUCCCUUAGCUGACGCCCUUGCCCUCUGUGUGUCCUUCCUCAUGGCCUGCAGGUUUCAGAUCCCAAGCUACAGAUCAUGUCUUCUAGUCUGGGCUCUGGCAGAGAGUUCGGAAGCACUCUUAUUAUCUUAGCAGCAGCAUGUGUGGAAAUCAUUUCUCAUUACAGCGGAGGGCAGGCAUUGUGCAGAGGGUUAAGUGGGCCUGCUUGAAGUUGGUUGUUGUUAGCUCUCAUGUCUAUGCCUUGGUCCCUUUCCCCUCAGGACUUGGAGAGCAAGCUGUUUGAGUCUGAUGCAACCCCUGGGCUUUGACUAUCAUGCCAAAAGGCAGCAAAUAAGUGCCUUUUCUUCCCUUCAGAAUACAUGGACAAUCCAAAGCUCUAUUAGUCUAUUAUUCAGAAUGAAAAGUGUUUACAAUAUUCGUCCUCUUACUCCUCAGUAUGUGAGACUGUUCCUCGUAGCAGGUAAUUUCUUCCGAAUUCAAAAACUCCUCAUGGAAGCAUCUGUUUUUGUCAUCAAGGAGGGGGCUGUAUGUGGAAUUGCAAGGCCAAAGACAUCUCGGGUCAACUCUUCUCAGGACCAGAUCCAAGUCGCCAGUGAGAACACACAUUCAGGCAGCCUCCACCAGCGCCCUGCCUCAGGAGCGAGGCUCCCUGCUUCAUGUGGGCAAGAGCUGCCCUUGUUUUCCCAGCGGGCAGUUGGGGGUCUGGAGCCUAGGAAGCAAAGUGAAGCACACACUCCUGCUUCCUUCCUUCCCUGCAGUUGAGACGGGAGUCUUACUUUGUUGCCCAGGCUGGUCUCAAACUCCUGGCUUCAAGCAAUCCUUCCACUUUGGCCUUCCAAAGUGCUGGGAUUACAGGCAUGAGCCACCAUGCCCAGCCUCCUUCUCUUACUAGCUGAGAACUAAGAGAAGACACUCUGGAGACAGAGGAGGAAACAGUGACGAUGCCACAUGAUGAAUACAUAAUGGAGGGUGAAGACAAGGCUCCGUCAGGGGCACCAAGGAGGGAAACCCAGUUCUGUGGGGAAGGUAUGGGGCAGCUUCACAAGCCCAGUGUCUGCUCCCUUUGUGGGAGACGUGUUGUUUCAGCAUCCAUUCCCCCUUCUUUUAGGAAAAGUGCUUGAAUUUCCUUUUCAUGGAACCACCCACCUCCCUCUCAUCCAUGCAUUCUAUUCCCAGUAUCAGGGGUAGACAAGUGACUUCAGGCUUGGCCAAUUAGGGUUCUGACUCUUGGUCAAAUCAGAGUGAAUCCUGAGUCAUUUGUAAACUCCAAGGAAAGGGCUUGCUUUGUUUUCUGUUGAAUGCAGUGCUCUGAGAUAGCCGGAAAUGAAACUGCUCUCUUGCCACACUGAAGGCUAGAGAAGGGCCUGGCCAGGAAAUGAUGCCAGUGAUCAGGGGUGGAGCUGGAAGAGGGGGAGUGAGGAGGCCCAGACAUCUUGGGAGCCCCAAAUUCACCUCAGGAUUUAACUUCUCCGCUGCUCAGCCAAUAAAUUCCUUUCUUCCAUGACU
This 1721-nucleotide long non-coding RNA is filed under the name Homo sapiens (human). Its description in RNAcentral is "non-protein coding STARD7-AS1:3". The record is from RNAcentral. Lineage: Eukaryota; Metazoa; Chordata; Mammalia; Primates; Hominidae.